AUUCUGUGGGUGGUGGUGCAUGGCCGUUCUUAGUUGGUGGAGUGAUUUGUCUGCUUAAUUGCGAUAACGAACGAGACCUUAACCUGCUAAAUAGCCCGUACUGCUUUGGCAGUUCGCCGGCUUCUUAGAGGGACUAUCGGCUCAAGCCGAUGGAAGUUUGAGGCAAUAACAGGUCUGUGAUGCCCUUAGAUGUCCUGGGCCGCACGCGCGUUACACUGACAGAGCCAGCGAGUAUUUCCUUGACCGGAAGGUCCGGGUAAUCUUGUUAAACUCUGUCGUGCUGGGGAUAGAGCAUUGCAAUUAUUGCUCUUCAACGAGGAAUCCCUAGUAAGCGCAAGUCAUCAGCUUGCGUUGAUUACGUCCCUGCCCUUUGUACACACCGCCCGUCGCUACUACCGAUUGAAUGGCUCAGUGAGACCUCCGGACUGGCCCAGAG
Molecule: ribosomal RNA, 436 nt
Filed under: Lomentospora prolificans
Lineage: Eukaryota; Fungi; Ascomycota; Sordariomycetes; Microascales; Microascaceae
Description: Scedosporium prolificans Eukaryotic small subunit ribosomal RNA
Rfam family: Eukaryotic small subunit ribosomal RNA
Source: Rfam by way of RNAcentral